Heteronotia binoei (common prickly gecko) is the source of this 1779-nucleotide long non-coding RNA. RefSeq lists it as uncharacterized. The transcript is spliced from 2 exons. NCBI's taxonomy places the organism in Eukaryota, Metazoa, Chordata, Lepidosauria, Squamata, Gekkonidae. The record is from RefSeq and is a predicted model, not a curated record.
UGUAUGAUCUGAGUUGUUGGAUCUUGUACCCAAUACAGAAAACGACUUCAACUAACAAAAUGGGAAAUCCCCACACUUUGCUUAAAUCAAUAACUUAUUAGUGUCAUAGUGUCACUGAAGCUUUUUCCCUCAACUGUGUAACAAUAUUUUGAUCUCAUAUUUUGAUUGCAAACUUCCACACUUCUAAGUGAAUGCUUUUAACCAUUAUCUAUAUACUUCACCAUGCAUGUAUGGAGAAAACAGCCAGUUAGGUUCUUUAAAAAACAAGAACGCUUAAAAAAAAAUUAGGGCGUCUGUGGCCUUAGGAUACUACAUCCUUGUUAGAGUCUUUUUAGUUUGCGGCUGCAGUAAUUAUUAAAGCUUGCUUGAGUGAGAAGUUUGCCACUGCAGACUCCAUUUGACCCCUUUCUCGAGAGGGGAAUAUAGUUACAGUGCUUUGCUAUACCAAGGAACAAAAAGCACAUAUAUAACUGGAAUGUGUAGAAAUAAGGGAAGCAUCCCAGUGGCUAUUUUUCUAUUACUGGAAUUUAAAAGAAAAAAAAAGGUUCAGGUUUUUUUACCUCAGUGUAUACAAUCAGCUCUUUAAGAUGGAAGCUUUAUGAAAUAAGCACUGAAAAAAUAUUCUUACAUUGCUUCUAUAAGUGUCAUUGCUUGCUGUGAAAUAGAUCAAUCUCUGCAAAAUAGCCGAUAAGUGUUUCCGUGCAGUAAAAGAUGACUUCUGCUAUACUUGAAAAAAAGGGAUGCAUAGCUUAGAAGGCAAGGCAAUUCAUCACUUUUGUCAUAAAUACUUAACACUAACCGUUGGCAAAGGAUUCUGAUUGACUGAUUUCCCAGACAUUUUUUAAAAUCCCUGUCUAACUUAGAUUAUCACAAUAUGUUUAUCCCAGAAUAAAGCAUUUAUAGUCCUUAAUCCCUUACAAAGGACUGUGAAAUUUGGCAGUUAUGAUUUUGCAUGCCUGUUCAGUGAAAAAGCAUUUAAUCUUCUGCUUUGCUAAAAUUAUAUGGAGGCUGGUUUGAAACUGUUUAAAUGUUACUAUGCUUUGAAAUAUGCAUCAUACAAAAAGGAAUUUACUUACCAUAAUGCAAAGUCUUCAGGCUGAGCAAAAAGGUGCAGAUCAGCAAGCCUCUGACUCUUCCUUCAUUAGAGGGCUUUGUGAAAGGCAAGUGCAUUGAAGCCAUACUUCCCCCCUCCCCAGUACCUGUCAUUUAAAACUGUAAUUUGGAGACUUGCAUAUGGAACUUUCAAGAUCAUCUUAAUAGAACGGCAACAUUAAACAUAAUUACUCCAUUCUCUGGGCUUUGUUUGAACUAUAGCUGUCAGUAACCAAGGGUGUUGAAAUUCCUACUUAAACAUUUUCUAUUCCCUGGUGAAUGUUCUUUCUUUGCUUAUUUGAAUAAUCUGAAUCUAAGGUUCUUUCGUUCUCAUGCAUCUCGUUCUCAUUUUGCUCAGUCCUGGUGCUUCCAUUAUGGUGGCCUAAAUGUUGUCUGUGCUUCAGUCCCACCCACCAAAUCCCACUUUAUACUGUACAAAUGCCUUAGCAAAGGGCGCUUACUGAGCCAUCCCAUUAUACUCUGUAUAUUCCUCACAUGGCACGAUUGGCAUGACUAAAGCAAAGGAUCUCUGUUAUCACUGAACUUUUCAGAAGUGUAAUCUUUAGUCAUUCUAGUUAAUGUUAAAUAAGGCGUACUUUCUAGCUACUUCUGAUGUGAUAUUUUUCUGCCUAAAGAUGUCAGCUGAGGCUUGAAUGAAAAUAAAAUAAAAAGAUUUGAUUCGAAACC